Molecule: long non-coding RNA, 932 nt
Organism: Juglans microcarpa x Juglans regia
Lineage: Eukaryota; Viridiplantae; Streptophyta; Magnoliopsida; Fagales; Juglandaceae
Exons: 2
Source: RefSeq, a predicted model, not a curated record
AAAGGGAAUCGUAUCCUCAGGCUCACACCAGCUCGCGCUUAGGGUGUAUAUAAGGCUAAGGCACCGUCACUCAGAGCCGUAGCACAAGCCCUAGCGGCAGAACGGCUCCCUCGACACACUUUCACAGCGGCGCACUUCCCCGACGGCUAACGUUCAGGAAAUGCAUGGGGCUCCCAUUUGCAAGCUUACUGCAGAGGUUGAGGAACCCAUGGUUUCAUGCCCUCCCAGGUUGAUACUAGGCAUCCUGAGGGGUUUUUUUAUUUUAUUUGACCAGGUUUAGUGAUCUGAUUUAACCUAAGGGAUUCAUUCAUAUGUCCUUCUGUGAUCUAACAUAACACAGUUUCGUUUUCAAUGUUUGCAUUAAAAGAUAACAUUCUCUUGCUCAAAACAUAUAUUGUGUACCAUAACGGCGCAUCUCAAACGUAUACAGCUAACAAAUUACUUCCUUCCUCUACUGGGAUUUGAAACAAAGAGCCAUUUUUUUUUAUAACUCCGCAAGCAUUCACAACCGGCUGUUUGGCAAACCAGAAAAUUGGGUGUCUCUGAACAUACUGAAUAGCAUAAUUAACUGCGCAUUGCGCAGUUUGAUAAUUAGCAGUGCAUUGUGCGUUUUGAACAGAGGAGCUUUUCUCAUCGGGAAGAGCUCAUAUAGAUUUCACUUUCAUAUCCACAUUACACCAAAAAAAAACACACACACAUGUGACAGAACCCAUGUUGUCUCAUGACAUACAUACUAAAGCAGUAACCUGUAGUCUGCAAAGGCUGUAUGUUGCGAUCUGAAAUGCGAUCGAGCCACCCAAAAUUCCAUAGCACCUCAUAAAUCUGCCUAAGCAAGCACUUUCACUGACUGUAUAAGCAAUACCGAUUGUUAGAGAUGAAAUCAAAUCAAGAAUCUUUUAUUUGAUUAUUACAAAUUAUUUCCAUACUUAUAU